Molecule: ribosomal RNA, 636 nt
Filed under: Epidorylaimus lugdunensis
Lineage: Eukaryota; Metazoa; Nematoda; Enoplea; Dorylaimida; Qudsianematidae
Also listed under: 7 other names
Description: SSU rRNA
Rfam family: Eukaryotic small subunit ribosomal RNA
Source: RNAcentral
GGCGAUCAGAUACCGCCCUAGUUCUAACCGUAAACGAUGACAACCAGCGAUUAAUCGGCGUUAAUAUACGACCCGAUUAGCAGCUUCCGGGAAACCAAAGUUUUUCGUUUCCGGGGGAAGUAUGGUUGCAAAGCUGAAACUUAAAGGAAUUGACGGAAGGGCACCACCAGGAGUGGAGCCUGCGGCUUAAUUUGACUCAACACGGGAAAACUCACCCGGCCCGGACACUGUAAGGAUUGACAGACUGAGAGCUCUUUCUUAAUUCAGUGGGUGGUGGUGCAUGGCCGUUCUUAGUUGGUGGAGCGAUUUGUCUGGUUAAUUCCGAUAACGAACGAGACUCUGGCCUAUUAAAUAGACGAGAUAUUACUCUGUAUCUCGCGCUUCUUAGAGGGACAAGCGGCGUCUAGUCGCAUGAAAAAGAGCAAUAACAGGUCUGUGAUGCCCUUAGAUGUCCGGGGCUGCACGCGCGCUACACUGAAAGAAUCAGUGGGCGUUUUACCUGGUUCGGAAGAACCGGGUAACCCAAGUAAUUUCUUUCGUGCUUGGGAUAGGGAAUUGCAAUUAUUUCCCUUAAACGAGGAAUUCCCAGUAAACGCGGGUCAUAAGCUCGUGUUGAUUACGUCCCUGCCCUUUGUA